Esox lucius (northern pike) is the source of this 521-nucleotide long non-coding RNA. RefSeq lists it as uncharacterized. The transcript is spliced from 2 exons. The record is from RefSeq and is a predicted model, not a curated record. NCBI's taxonomy places the organism in Eukaryota, Metazoa, Chordata, Actinopteri, Esociformes, Esocidae.
AGAAAGCCUCCACAGCCUCAUCAAGUGUGUUGUCACUGUCGUGAAAAUCUAGGGUCCUAGAAAUGCGGUCCUGAAACAGCAGCCUCCGGCUUGGGUCGAAUACUGCCUUCCGGUAAUCCAAUUCGCCAGGGGGCGCUGUCAUCGCGAAUAACGAGGGCCCAAAACUGCGGUCCUAGAACUGCACUCCUGAAACUGCAGUCUCCAGUACUGCAACCAAAUACUAUUGCUUACGCCAGGUCUUGGUUCAAAAGCUACGAAGUCUGAUCUUUCCAGGUGAAAACUGCAACUAUGCAGAAAACUGAUGAUAACGACAAUUGCUCCUAGUUCAGCUCUACGUCACACAACUAUUUCAACCGAAGUUCAGACAACAUGGAAUGAUGUCUUGACGGUUCAGCAUUCUUGUUGACACUCUAGCAUCUACAGUGUUAGUGUUCAAGCAAAUACAACAAAAUGCAGGCAUAUGCAAUGUGCAUGUAUCCAUCUUAAAUAAACCUGCCAGCUUCAUUUGGACCACCACGUGA